CUGCAACACCAAACAAUCAACAGCAGAGCCUGUCGUUUCCGGGUGGUUUUCUUUCGUACCCAAGGAAGGUCAACCCAAACUAAGGACAAGGUUCUUUAGCAUUGUUUUGAAUGAAGGACAGCUAACUGCAUCUUGCAAGAAUGUGGACAAAUCAGAACCAGCGAAGCACCCACUUAGACAGUGAAAUGAAAGAACCUCGUGUUUUUGUCAUCCACGCAGGGGAAGACAAAGAGUCAUUUGUUCGCCCAUUGGUUCGCACUCUGCUACGACAGGGGUUGUCUGAAAAAGACAUAUUUUUCGAUGAUGUUUCCAUCAGACCUGGUGAUGUCAUCAGGGACAGAAUAAUGUCGGCCUUAUCAAGUGAAAGUUUAGAGCUUGCUGUCGUUGUCGUCAGUACCUCAUUCCUUACCAAGCCAUACUGGCCUAGGCUAGAGUUUGAAACAUGUUUGAAAAAUAACAAACAUGUAUUCCCAAUUUGGGUUGAUUCCAAUUAUGACAACUUCAAGGUAUUCAGUGAAUCUGUCGGAAAGUAUUCACCUACAUUAAAGCAGAUGAGUGCGAAACGUGUACAGAGAGAUGACGUCAUUAUUGAGCUGCCAUACAUUGCCGCAGAGAUAAC
Long non-coding RNA from Branchiostoma floridae (Florida lancelet), 619 nucleotides. RefSeq lists it as uncharacterized. NCBI's taxonomy places the organism in Eukaryota, Metazoa, Chordata, Leptocardii, Amphioxiformes, Branchiostomatidae. The record is from RefSeq and is a predicted model, not a curated record. The transcript has 3 exons.